ACRAACGACUCUCGGCAACGGAUAUCUCGGCUCACGCAUCGAUGAAGAACGUAGCAAAAUGCGAUACUUGGUGUGAAUUGCAGAAUCCCGUGAACCAUCGAGUUUUUGAACGCAAGUUGCGCCCGAAGCCAUUCGGCYGAGGGCACGUCUGCCUGGGCGUCAC
RNAcentral lists this ribosomal RNA (163 nucleotides) under Nardophyllum patagonicum. RNAcentral describes it as "5.8S ribosomal RNA". It matches the Rfam family "5.8S ribosomal RNA". Rfam says of the family: 5.8S ribosomal RNA (5.8S rRNA) is a component of the large subunit of the eukaryotic ribosome. Lineage: Eukaryota; Viridiplantae; Streptophyta; Magnoliopsida; Asterales; Asteraceae. The record is from RNAcentral.